AGCCUCUCAGGGUCACACCUGGAGAUUUCCCAGUCCUCUACCAGUCUCGACUACAGGAGGGAGAGUCAGGCAGAGGCAUAUCCAUUCCAUUCCUAGCUUGGGCAGUGGCUAGCGAGUGGCAGGCAAUCUGCUACAAGU
This 138-nucleotide small nucleolar RNA is filed under the name Ornithorhynchus anatinus (platypus). Lineage: Eukaryota; Metazoa; Chordata; Mammalia; Monotremata; Ornithorhynchidae. The record is from RNAcentral.